This 313-nucleotide small nuclear RNA is filed under the name Myotis brandtii (Brandt's bat). Its description in RNAcentral is "7SK RNA". It matches the Rfam family "7SK RNA". Rfam says of the family: 7SK was discovered as an abundant small nuclear RNA in the mid-70s but a possible function has only recently been suggested. Lineage: Eukaryota; Metazoa; Chordata; Mammalia; Chiroptera; Vespertilionidae. The record is from Rfam by way of RNAcentral.
GGAUGUGAGGGCGAUCUGGCUGCGACAUCUGUCACCCCAUUGAUCGCCAGGGUUGAUUCGGCUGAUCUGGCUGGCUAGGCGGGUGUCCCCCUCCUCCCUCACCGAUCCAUGUGCGUCCCUCCCGAAGCUGCGCGCUCGGUCGAAGAGGACGACCUUCCCCCCCGAGGAGAGGACCGGUCUUCGGUCAAGGGUAUACGAGUAGCUGCGCUCCCCUGCUAGAACCUCCAAACAAGCUCUCAAGAAUGUAAAAAUGUAUUUUAAAUUUUUAUGUUGCUUGAAUUGCAUUUGAAAUUUUAUUUUAUUUUUAUUGAAU